This 292-nucleotide ribosomal RNA is filed under the name uncultured bacterium. RNAcentral's name for it is "partial 16S ribosomal RNA". It matches the Rfam family "Bacterial small subunit ribosomal RNA", at positions 505 to 796 of the family's 1533-position model. The record is from RNAcentral.
GUGUCAGCAGCCGCGGUAAUACGAAGGGGGCAAGCGUUGUUCGGAUUUACUGGGCGUAAAGCGUACGUAGGCGGAUCAUUAAGUCAGGGGUGAAAUCCCGAGGCUCAACCUCGGAACUGCCUUUGAUACUGGUGAUCUUGAGUCCGGGAGAGGUGAGUGGAACUCCUAGUGUAGAGGUGAAAUUCGUAGAUAUUAGGAAGAACACCAGUGGCGAAGGCGGCUCACUGGCCCGGAACUGACGCUGAGGUACGAAAGCGUGGGGAGCAAACAGGAUUAGAUACCCGCGUAGUCC